Molecule: long non-coding RNA, 15321 nt
Filed under: Vigna radiata
Lineage: Eukaryota; Viridiplantae; Streptophyta; Magnoliopsida; Fabales; Fabaceae
Description: long non-coding RNA (VRAD_LNC005296)
Source: RNAcentral
UAAUGUAAUCGGUUAAGUUUCAUACUUAAACAAUUUUGAAAACCUUUUCCAUUCAAGACAACUCAAUGCACUUAGCAAACAUGUACUGGCAUAGCAACAAGUUUUAAUUGAUUAUAUAAUUAAUGUAAUCGGUUAAAACAUAGUUGUUUUGUCCUUGAUAAUCAAAUGCUGAUAUAUGAUGAAAUUUAACAGAUUAUGCAAACAGUGUAAUCAAUUAUUUCAUGGAGAUAUACAAUGUGCAAUGCGUUUCAACCAAUGAUUCAUAAAUAAAGUUGCUUUUGCCAACUUAACUAAAUACAUUUUAAACUUGUGGUGAAGUUCAAAUCCUAACUUCAAUCAAUAUUUUAAACAAUUUGAUAUUAUCCCUCCAAGCAUGUUAUACAUAUGUAAUCAACCUGGUGUCCUAAAAUUGUUGGGCCUUCCACAAUUUAGCCUACAUUAGAUGAGCUACCUUAUGUUGUAAUGCCUUGUCUUCUCUGUGCCUUCUAUAGUCAUGGAUCCACCUAAAUUUUGAACUUGGUCUUGGUCUUAAUCAUUGUAAUCAUAUCCUUGGGCUUCGAUGUACAUGUCAUUCCCUUGCUACCUCUUGAGAAAGAUUUGUUGUCAAACCCAAAUCUUCAUCCUGUUGCGAAAGAUUUGUUGUCAAACCGAAAUCUUUAUCCUCUGCAGUAAAAGGAGAUAAAUAAAAAACAUUAAAAGUGCUACUAACAUUAUACUCACAUGGAAAAUCAGUCUUAUAGGAAUUGUCAUUUAUCAUUUUUAGCAUUCAGAAUGGCCUAUCCCCUCUAGGUUGGAUCUUGGAUUUUCUUUAUUAAGGGAAUCAUCUUCCUCAUAUGUAUUGAUAUGGAACAACAUGCCUAGAUAGAAAAGAAAACUAAGAACUAAACAAGAAUAAUUAAAAAUGGAAUUAAAAGACUAAAAAUGAAAGAGAGAAAGGAAAGGAAACUUAGGAGAAUGAAGCCAUAUCACUUGGAAGGAUCCAAGAUAAGUGCCAAGGUUUAAUAUUUUUUUCCAAGGUUUAAUAUUUUUUUCUUUUUUGUAAUAAGAGCUCUAAGAAAAGUAGAAAUAGUUUUGUUAACCACUUCAAUUUGUCCAUUGGUUUGGGAAUGACAUGCAAUUGAAAACAACAACUUGGUUUUGAUCUUACUCCCACAAAGUUUGCCAAAAGUGACUAAGAAAUCUGGAAUCCUGAUGACAUACAAUACUCCUAAGUAAACCAUGCAAUUUCACCAUCUCCUUGAAAAACAAAUCAGCAAAAUGACAUGUGUCAUCUACCUUUUGUCAUGCUGUGGAGUCAUAGUAAAAAACAUGUCAACCACCACAAAAUUUUAGUCCUUUCCUAUCUUGGACUGAGGCAAACCUAGAACAAAAUUCAUAGAAAUCUCAACCUAAGGAUGUUCAGGAACUGGUAAUGGAGUAGACAAACCAUGUGGCAUAACUCUUGAUAUAGCCUUCUUGCAUACAAGACAUUUAUCAGUACACUUAUGCAUGUUAUGCUUCAUGUGUGCCUCUCUAAUAAGCUAGUCCCUAACUGAACCAUUAGGUACACAAAGUCUCUUACCCCAUAACAACUACCUACAUGGCGUAAACUGCCCAUAAGAUGGAGUAUGAGAACAUGUUUGAUAUUUAUAAGAAAAGUCAGUAUCAUGCUCGCACAAUUCAUUAGUGCACUCAAAACCAAGAAACUUAGUUUCAAGGUUAGACAAUAAUGCAUGGCUACAAUAGACUACUAUUACAUUAUUAUUACCUUUCUUAUGUCUAAUAACAUGAAAAUUGUUCAAGAAAUUCCACCCACUUGCCUCUUGUUCAAGUGUCCUUUCCCUUUCAAAUAUUUCAAAAAUCACAAUGAAUAAUAAGUUCUUUGGACAAGAGAUAAUAAUGUAAAAUUCACAAAACUCCAAUUAAAGCAUAAAAUUCCUUAUUAUAUACAAAAUAGUUAAUAAGACCUCCAUUCAGUUUAUCACAAAAAUAUGCAAUGAGAUGCCCCUCUUGAAUCAACACAGCCUUGAUGCCUACCUGAGAUGGAUCACAUUCAAACUCAAAGGAUUUAAGAGAAUUAGGCAAAGCAAGAACAAGAGAAUUAUUAAACUUUUCUUUCAAAGCAGUUAAAGCCUUCUCUUGUUGAUCACUCAAAAGCACCAUUUUUCUUUAUAAUUUCAUUAAGCGAUGUAACCAAAAGGCUAAAAUACUUAAUAAGAUGUGAAUGCUCCUUACUCACUUACAUUUUUAGAGUUUGACCAAUUUUGAAUGGUUUUCACCUUCUUUUGAUCAACAUGCAGUCCUUGUGAGCUAAUAAUAAAUCCAAGAAAAAUAACAUGGUCCAUGCAGGACACACAUUUUUCCAUGUUAGCAUACAAUUUCUCAAGUAUAAGUGCUUCCGAAAUACACCUCAAAUGCACAUCAUGGUCAUUAUAAGAUUUGCUAUAUUAUUUUUGAAUAUAGUGAAAACUAUGUAAGCGAUUAGUCUCUUGUGUUGAAUACAUACAUUUGGUUCUCUAUUUAUAAUAAAAGAAAUAUGGGCUAAGCUCAAAGUACAAAUAAAAAAUAAUAACAAACAAACUAAAGAUAAAAGAUAAAGAAAAGAUAAAGAUAAUAUAUCUAACACUUUCUCUCAUGUUGGUGAAUACAAAUCAUAUGUACCAAGCUUGUUACAAAUCUAAUCAAUUAUCAGCCCCCGUAAAAUCAUUUGUACCAAGCUUGGUCGUCUCAUGAAAGAUUGGAUUAAAACUAAUAUGAAGAGCAACUUCGUUGUCAAAUAUAAGUGUCAAACAAGCUCACAAGUGGUUGAGGCCAUAGCUCUAUAUUCUGCUUCUGCACUAGAUCUUGCCACAACACUCUAUUGCGUGCUUUUCCCAAAGAUCAAGUUACUACCAAUGGAGACACAAUAUUCGGAUGUAGUCCUUCUAUCAGAAGGAGAUCCUGUCCAACUAGCAUCAAAAUAACAAACCACUCUUGUAUGGUUUUUAGAGCCAUAUAACAACCCUUUUCUAGGAGAUCCUUUAAUGUACUUUAAUAUACGAAUAACUACAUUCCAAUGAUUUUCACAUGGAGAAUUAAGGAAUGUGCUUACCACACUAACUGCAAAGGAAAUGUCAGGACGAGUAACUGUAAGAUAAUUCAAUUUUUCAACUAGUUUUCUAUAUUUCUCGGGGUCUGACAUAGGCUCCCCUGUUUUGGUAGAAGUUUAGUAUUGGAAUCCAUGGGUGUGUCCACAGAUUUUGAAUUCAUCAAUUUAGUUUCCUCCAAAAUAUCUAAUGCAUACUUCCUUUGAGAUAUAACAAUAUCAUCGUUGGAUUGUGCCACCUCAAUACCCAAGAAAUAUCUAAGUUUGCCAAGAUCUUUGGUCUGAAAAUGGUUGCAAAGAGAUGCCAUGAUUGUCACUGUUUGUAAGAACAAUGUCAUCAACAUAUAUUACCAAGUAGAUACAUCCAACACUUGAUGACGGUAAAAGAUUGAAUGAUCUGCCUUACACCGAGUUAUACCAAAUUGUUGAACAAAGUUACUAAAUUUUCCAAACUAGGCCCUAGGAGAUUGUUUUAGGCCAUAUAAGGAUUUGCGAAGACGACAUACCAACCCAGAAGACUCUCCCUAAGGAACAAAUCUUGGAGUUUGUUACAUAUGAAUCUCUUCUUACAAAUCUUUGUUAAGGAAUGCAUUUUUGACAUCCUGUUGUUAAAGAAGUUAUUGUUGAAGAGUCACCACAACUAUAAAUAAACAAACAGAUGUCAUCUUUGCCAUUGAAGAAAAAGUAUCACCAUAAUGCAAUCCAAAAAUUUGUGUGUAACCUUUGGCCACAGGACGAGCUUUGAGGCGAUAAAUAGUUCCAUCAGGACUAACUUUGAUAGAAAAACCCCACCUGCAACCAACAAUAGAUCUUCUAAACAGUAAUGGGACAAACUCCCAAGUUCCAUUAUUCUAAAGAGUACUUAAUUCAUCUAGCAUGGCCUAACGCCAACCAGGAUAGGCUAAGGCAUCAAUAACAAAUUUUGGUAUGGUCACAGAAGAAAUAGACAAAAGGAAGGUAUAAAAGGUGAAGACAGUCCAUGAUAACUUAAAGUAAUAUAAUGUGGAGAGAGAUUACUUGUAAAACAUAUACCUUUUCGGAGGGCAAUUAGAAGGGUAGACUCAGUUAUCGAAGCCGAAGGAGACAAGGUAGUUGGCACUUGAAUUUAGUUGGAAGGGUAGACCCUUGUGCUUCGUACUUAUAGCAACCCCUUAUGCAAGGUCUAUCUCACCCUUCAAUGUUCUUGACACAAUUUAAAAAUGUAGAAAAGAGUAAAUGAAGACUCAAAUGGAAUAUAUUUGAUUCUUUAAUAUUGUUAAACAAGAAAUCAUAAGGAUACAACUAUCCCACUGCCCAGAGAAAAGCUCCUAAGAGAAACCGAAAAUGGCUCCCUCUCCAAUUAAGCAUCAAAAUAAAUGCCUCCCCAAAACCUACCUCCCUGAUCCUUUUAAACAACCAAUACCCCUUUCUUUCUCUUCUAACCAACCUAUUCCUCCCUAGUGUGCCACGUCACCCUUCUUAGUCGUUUUCCUCUCAUAUACUUUGCCCAACCUUUUCUUACUCUUCUCUUCUUGGAUCAAGGGUUUAGCCUAAUUGUAACAUCCUAUUUUAAUAGUGUAAAACUAUUAAAAUAAAAUGUACAUACAUGAUAACUUACAAGGAACCUGAGACUAAUAUAGUAGAAGAUUAUAUACCCUUAAAGAGCAAAAACUAUCUAUCAUAUUGCUUCUCUCUCAACCAACUGUUGAAUCAACUAAAAAGAUGUCCCCUUCCUAAGCUAACAUUGGUUAAGGUGAUGAUUGCAAAGGAGAAAACAGCACACAGACAGACAAAACACAAAAACAAUGAUAAGCUAGUGAUACAAAACAUUUCAUAAUAUACUUAAGUAUUUUAAACAUUCCACAUAUGAUACAGGUAACACAAUUUAACCAACCAAACACUUUACACAUGACCAUACUUUAACAGAACUAUCCGUACUUAGAAUGAAUGUCGGACUAUGGCAGGUUGUGCACUUGUGGUAGCUUUUACUGCUUUGCAAAGUCAUUGCCAAUGGGUUUCACCCUACCACACUCACAAGGUUAGUCUGUUCCACGCCUUGAAUCAUACUAGAAGCACCCAAGACUAAGACCUCCUGCUACUCUCACCACUUGUGUCAAUCUUCUCUACUUGAGAAUGAAAGACCAUUAGAGUCUUAGGAUAACCCUUAAGACUGAGCUCCCUGCAUUCAUACUAAUGAUACUUGAAACCACCACUGAGAAGUUCCUCCUUGGAACUCUCUUCCAUACCUUUGAAACCAUUGAGAUCACCGCGCAUUCACAUAGUACACCAAUACAUGAGACUACUAAUCAUACAUUAGAAAUAGAAACACACAUACAAGUCAUCAGAAAUGACAUAACACAAUUUCUUCAUGACAUCUUGAUAGUCACAUUUAGAUAAGGAAAACAGCUUUGAAACUCUCACCAACAACUCUGGAAGGGUCCAAAACCCCCUAAAACGAUAUAAAGAAUGUUAAAAAUGGACAUUCAGUUGAAAAAAAUUAAAAUCUGGCUGAGUGGUGUUGAGCGCCCCAAAAAGGGGCCCGGGCGCCAAACCCCUAGAACAGAGCACUCAAGGGGCACUCUGGCGAGUUCUUCUCGCAACAAUGACACCCAAGGGCCCUUGGAGAGCACUCAGCACUGCACCAGGUUCCAAAAUUCACCUAUUUUGAAUUUGGUGACCCUUUACACAAGUUUAAAUGAUUCCUAAACACUCUUAGGCGCUGAGAAACAUCUAAAAACAAACCUCUAACUUGAAUUGAUCACUCCAAACCUAAAUUGACCUAUGAAAACCCAAAUUCACUCUUAUAAGCUACCCAAACUCAAAUCUACACUUUCUAGUCCCCAUAUCAGUUUCCUAACUGUAUAACCAGGUCCAAAUACACUUGUUAGUACAUUCCAACACCUCAGAUUGCUGAUAGUCACUCUACUUUAAAUUUCCAACCCCCAAAACCUCCAAAAUGAACCAAUCUAUGAAGCAAUUUUCACCUUUCUGACAGACUUUUACUGAUUUGAAUAUCUAUACAAGUUUUAAUUGGUCCCAUAACCUGUUCCAAACUCUCCAAAACAAUUUAAAUCCCUUACUUCAAAAUCUCACUAUCCAAAACUCCAUUUUCACACUAAAAGCACCCUAAGCUUCAAAUUUGCACUACCUCUAUGAUAGAUUAGAUUUUAAUCAUAUUAUACCUCCAAGAAGUCUUAAUUUACCUCAUGAUAGCACCUCAAUAACAGUUUCCUCACAUCAGCCCCAAAUUCUCAAACUCACACCUUCAACCCCCCCCCCCCCACCUUGUCACCAUGGUUGAUUAAGCACCUCCUGAUCAUCAAAGAGAUGUCUCAGGAGUUAGAACGCUUGGAGAAGAUAGAGAACUCUAAAAAGUGAUUUCUAGAGAAAUAAUGUUUUAAAAUAAUGAAACUCAUUUAUAACAAAACUAUUUAUAAUAAAUUGGCUCUAGUUGAAUAUAUAUAACUUUAAGAUCUUUAAUUAUUCAAUCUAUAAAUAUUAACCCGACUUUAGUACACAUUUUACCCAGUUAACGUUUCAACAUAUGUACAUUUAUCAUUAUCCACAUACAUUGUGUUUUAUUAAGGAAUUCAUCAAUCCGUAACUCUCUACAUCACACAGCUGAAAUCUUGUUUUUAUUCUUCCCCUUUCUUUCUAAAUGAUAUUCGAGUAGAAUUUUAAUGCUGUAGUGUGUACUUCAUUUUUCAAGGUUAACUUUACAAGUACACAUUAUACUGAAUCAUGGGCUUUCAUUAGUGAACCCUUCAUUUCAUAUACCUUUCAUUAUUUUGGACCAUAUAAGGGUAAGAAAGUGACCUUUUAGUUAUUCCCCUUGUCUUACUUUUCCCUCUCAACCCAGAAACACAGGAUACCUAAUCAUUAUUCUGUUUUUCAUAAAUAUUUGAAUUAUUUUCCUAAUUCACGACCACUGUCUCUUUCAGCAAUAUGUUAAAGGUAUAUCUGCAACUGGGAUGCAAUCUAACUAUGGUUUUGAUGGUCAACUCAAUGCAUGUUGGACACAUAAAAUGACUGAUGAUGAGAUUGAGGUGAUCAAAUCUGCUGGUUUUCUUGUUUCAAUCAUCCAUGGCAGGUUUGUACUGUUUCAUAGGAAUGUCAGUUUCACAAUAUAAAUGAGAAUUGACCCCAGGCAUACAUAAACAGAUCAUUCAGACACAAAUUGUGCUUGAAAUUGAAAACACUGUAUAUCAACUUAUGCUUUUUGUAGUUUUAUCCAAUCAUGGAAAUAUUUUCUUCACGUUCAGGCAUGACAUAAUUGCUCAGAUAUAUUAUGCAAAAAGACUUGCUCAGAGGCUUUAUCCAGUGGCUAGAAUGGUAGAUCUUCAUGGAGGUCAUCUAGUAAGUCAUGAGCGGCCUGAAGAGGUAUAUUUUCCUUCUAAUAUGAUAUAUUAUAUUCUUCAUGAUUUGAGUUAAUAACAUACUGGCAAUUUGCACACUGUACUAUGCCUCUAAAGUUGCAUUGGAAAUGGACUAAAGCUUUUCUAAUUCAGGUUAAUCAAGCACUAUUUGACUUGAUCAAAGCAUCAGAAGUGAAUACGAACCCACAUGAUUGGACUAAUUUGCCAAAGACACAGUCUUGUAAGUAUUCCAGGUUAUAGAUUAUGUUGCACUUGGCAAUUUAGUACGAGCUCUCACUAUCAUGCCAUGACUGUUUUCUGUAGCUUGGUGGGUUGUCCGUGUGAGGUAAAAAUGUCUAAGCUCCAAGCAGAGACAGACCCACGUUCGUGGGUAAGGGGAGUGUUCCCACUCAAAAUUUACCACUAUCAUACAUGAUUUUCCAUUUUUUAUCCCAGAACCUUAGAAGGUUUGCCCUAAAACAAGAUCCCUAGGUAAAAAUCUAACUUUACAAGCCACAUCUUAGUUUCCUGUUUUGGACUUCACCCUACUUGUCCAUUCUCACUAGCAACAACCGAAACCCAAUUUCUUUUACAAGUGUUAACUGAUAUUUGGUUUCGUAUAUGAUUAGAUAAUUUAAUUAUUAUCCAACGGCCCCAGGUCUUCAUAAAGAACAGAGACAUGUUUCAUCAGUGCAUACCCAGUCGUAGUUGUGUUUACAGGUGAAUUUCUUAGAGAUGAGCUAGCUCUCAUUCACAGCAAAAGAAAAAUGGUGUUGCUUUCUGUGAAAAAACUAAAGUGUAUCAUUACUUGAAAAUGCAAAAAGAUUUAUUGGGCAUGUUGACCGAAAGGUUUCCUCCCACUAGGCCAAAGGUUUUUCAGGUCUGUCGCUGGCUCCCAAUUAGUAAAGACGUGGUGUGCUAUCAUAUGCUUCGUUAUUUGAAGUACAAUACAUAUAUUACACUAACUGCAUUGCAGACCUGUGAUUAAGAAAGUGUAUAUUAGAAGGGUUGGUAUGGGUAGCAGUUGGUUGGCCCAGUUAAGGGUAGCCUUUCUGUUAUAUGUAAGUCACCAACGCGCUAUGAAACGGGAAAAACUGUAUAAUCUUUAAACCUGGGACUUAGGAGAAUUUGAAAAUUGUGGGGAGUGGAUCAAGACCUCUCAAACCUCUGGAGCAAUGUAUCAUUUUCAUUGGGAGAUUUUCCCUAUUAUUCAUUUAAUAAAAUUUCAAUUUCCACACUUUUUUUUUUUUUUAUGUUGGUUCUGUCACAAUAUAUUUUUAUAAAUUUAAUCUUACGGCGCUCAAGUUGCAAUAAUCUAUAUGUAUGAUAUUGGAGAAGAUGUGUCGCUCAAGACAAUCUUUAGGUGCACACUUUUUUUUUCCUAAUAAGAUAUACUUUAUACUGAUCUUGUACAGGGUGGAAAGAAAAAAGGGUGUUGAUUAUAACAAACAAUCAGGCUGGAAGGAAUGACUCCCUUAAAUGCCACGUGUUAGAAAAACUGCAUAUCUUCCUAUUGUACUUCUUUGGUCUCCUUAUGUUAGCAUUUGAAUAUGGAAUAAAGCUUCUAAGAAGAUUAAAACCAGUUCGAGUUGGAGGUUCCACCUUGUAUACUGAAAGUCAAUGACUCUUGUUAUUGGGUACCUGACUAUGACUAUUUUCUUUUCUGCAUUAUGGUAAUUGAUUUGGUUACUUAAAAAGAUUUGAGGCUGGAAUUCUUAUCUCCUACUCGUUGCAGGUGUGUAUUGUAUAAUUUGAUAUAUCCUGAAGCGAGAGAGAUCACAGCAAACUGAGUCUCAUGCUUUCAGCAAACUGAAUUUCAACGAGCCAGAAAGCACAAACGAGAAUCCUGGAAUUCUGCAAUUUGAGGCAUGGCACUAAAAUAUCCCUUUAUUAGCAAGAUGAAUUCCAUGUGCUUCCCAGAGCCAAUAAAGGGGAUGGACAUCCACUUUUCUUUUUGUACACUCUAGUGUAAUAUAAUUGAUCGAAUCUAACCCCGCAAAUUCUGCUCCUAUCAGAGUUUGCUUAAUAUAUUAAGAUAAAACCUAUAGAAACCAAAUCACACGAAAAAGGAGUAAGAUGAUUCUGCAUGCAUUCUUUUACCCCAUGAUUUAAACGAAUCACGGGAUUGUCUAACUCUUGGGCCUCUUAGCAAACCUCAAUUGAUUUUCAUAGUUGUUCACAACAUCCAUGUCCUUUACUUUUUCCUUUUUAUGGAAUUUUUGGUUGAAUUCAGGAUACAGAAAAUUUGUAGGACAAUUUUAAUUGGUACGUUUGGUGGUACAGUGAUUAACACGGAAGGAGAAUUAAAAACUAGGUGGAUUUUAUUGAUAUUUUUUUCUUAUUCAUUUCUAUUUUGUUUUCUCUAUCUCUUCUAAUUCCUAUUUUUUUUUUCUUUCAAACUAACACCCUUAACUUUGAUCUUGUUUCCCUCUGGUAACAUUAAUAAUGCUUGUAAACAUUCUAGCAACAAAUUAUGUUUUAGUAAGAAAUAUGAUUUGAUUCAAAUGAUAGGAUAUAAUGUGAUAAAAUAUAAUGGGUGCAGGAUGUAAGGAAAUAGUUUAGGAAUUAAUUAGAAGUUCGUUAGUUGAUUGGGUUGCUUUUAUAAAAAGGUAGGGGUUUUGGUCGCAUGAUAGUUUUUGGAUAAUUCUGUGUGUAGACAGGAGGUUGUUCUUGUGGAGGGAGAGUGUUUCUUUGAGAGUUAGGUGUUGUACCUGUUUAUUCUUUGAUUCUAGAGUAACAUGGGUUUAUUUCCCAGUUAUUUGGGUGUGUGUGUGUUGUUUUGAGUGAUAGAUAGACUUUUGUACUAAAGAGUUCUAUUAAAUUUGGUUCGACUUGUUGGAUACCAGGGGAGUGGAGAGGGAUGGAGGGCAAACUAAACACCUUGGAGGGAACAGUAGAGGGCGACUCAAUGCUAUGGAGACAACAAUAGAGGAGUUCAUGGCGGAAUUGAGAGGGGUGCAUCAAGAACUCCAAGAAAUCAACAAAAUUCUUGGAAGAAGAACUUAGAACCAGUACAGGAGUUCAGAAAGAAGUGAGAAAUCUAUUAUGAAAGGAAAGAAAGAUAGAAAAACAGGUAAGGAUGUUGUGAAAAAUAGUCGGCAAAACAUCAAGAAAGGCAAGAAAUUCUAUAAAGAAGGAGAGUACUUGGCUAAUGAUGAAGAGUAGAAGGAAGAAAGAUAUUCACAAGGCAGGAAACCAGAUGAAGAAUCACUUUUCCCAUGGGUUGAAGGAGUGGAAUUGUCCACAAUUAAAGGGAAUGGCACCUAGGGUCAAACAAUAAGGGCAACAAAUGUUUUAGAAGUUCAGAACAUCAAAUGAGCAACAAAGGUACACCAAACAGUCAAUAACAUGGAAGAAAAUGCAGUCCAAGGGUUCAAGACCUGGCAACAAAAAUCCAAGAACCUUUCAUAGAAAGAUCUUCCAAAAGACCUCUAUAGGAGUUGUAGGGGCAGAGAAUGCAACACCACUUUUGAAAAGAAUGGGAGUAGAAAACGGAAUAUCAUUGUUGGAAAAUGGGCAAUAAUUAAACAAUAAAGGGUAGAAGAUUACUGUUAAAUAUAAUGAAAAUUAUAUAUUGGAAUUAAUCCCUUGUGUUAAAUACACAUAUAGGAUUCUCUAUUUAUAAUAGAAGAAAUAUGGGCUAAGCCCAAAUACAAAUGAAUAUGUAAGAAUAAAAUAAAAUAAAAUAAGAACAAUGUUUCCCUAAUAAACAUAUAGGGACUAUAUUUCCCUAAUUAACAUAAACACAAUAUAAACUAAAUAUAAUAUCUCUAACACUCCCCUUCAAGCUGGAGCAUACAGAUUAUAUGGACCAAGCUUGGAAUAAAUAAAAUCAAUUUGAAAUAUAUGAUCUGUCUUCAAGAGUGUGCGGCAAACAGAUGCGCAAUCACAUGUCGACGAACAACUAACAGCAAUUUAUGAAAAGUAGUGGACAGUUGUGAAAUUUCAAAUAGCACCAUGAAACUUCAAGUGGGAUGACUUUGACAAAGGAGAACAAUGACAAACUCCAGGGACUAGAUUGCCAUCAAGUAAGGAUGGGGCUUGCAUCAAAACUACAGGGACUGUCAUCACUGACUGAUGGGGCCUGUAGUGGCUAAAAGCGACAAAACUACAAGGACUGCCAUCACUGACUGAUGGGGCCUGUAUACAGGGACUGCCAUCAUGAUGGGGCCUGUAGUGGCUAAAAGCGAUAAAGCUGCAAGGACUGCCAUUCUAGUGGAGUCUGAAAGCCUAAAACCUGGCUGGAAACAUACUCCCCCUCACGACGAACGACGGAAAUGACGGCGUGCCGAUGACAGAUCGUGAAAGUGGAAGAUCAUAAUGAGCUCUUAUUCAUCAAAGCACCCAAAACACAAAUAUGAUAGAUUUGACAAAGGGUUGGUGAAAUUGUUUCAACCCAUAAUUUUAGUGUUGAAAUUUCUUGGUGUUAACCACUGACUGUGCUUGAAGACCUUUCAGAAUAGAGAAGAAGAUAGUGGGAGCAGUAGAGGUAGGACUAGGUGUUGGUGCAUCAGUGGCACAAGUGGCAGAGACGACGACCGGAGACGGUGCCGACGACGGUGGCCGGAGAUGACGGUCGGAGACGACGGCCGGAGACGGUUGUCGGAGACGGUGGCCAGAGACGGUGGCCGGCAGCGGCGGACUACCAGUUACGGUGGCUGGCGGCAGUGGACGACCGGUGACGGUGGCCGGAGACGGUGGACAGGCUGCAGGUGGCGGCUGGUGGCGAGCGGCAACGGGCAGUGGCGGACAACAACACCGGACAAAUGCGAGACAGAAACCAGAGAUUGCCCAUUGAAGUAUAAACGCACAGGUUGAAAAAGAAACUUUUACGGGGGGCCGCCGAUGCCACGGGCGGCAACAAAUACAAAGUAGAAAAGGAUCAGAAAACCUACUCUGAUACCAUGUUAAAUAUAGUGAAAAUUAUAUAUUGGAAUUAAUCCCUUGUGUUAAAUACACACAUAGGAUUCUCUAUUUAUAAUAGAAGAAAUAUGGGCUAAGCCCAAAUACAAAUGAAUAUGUAAGAAUAAAAUAAAAUAAAAUAAGAACAGUGUUUCCCUAAUAAACAUAUAGGGACUAUAUUUCCCUAAUUAACAUAAACACAAUAUAAACUAAAUAUAAUAUAUCUAAUAAUUACAUUUAAGAUUUGGAUGUGGGAAAAAAUAACAGGGGUGAAUUUUAUUAUGCUAUUGAUGUGCUUCCUAGUAAUAAUACACAACAUGAUGGUUUAUUGGAUAUGGAUCUUCUUUAUAUCCAUAAAUAUAUUGGUAUUCUUAAAGAGGUAGAGUUUUACUUGAGAGUUUGGUAGCAGUAACAUGGUCUGGGAGUGGGGGAAAAUUCAUCCAAGAAUUCAAGAUAUUGGUGUCACAAGUAAGUAAAACACUAGAAUAUCAAUUACAUGAAUUUUUCUUUAUAGGGCUGCAAUCUAACAUUCAUAGUUGGUUGCCACAAUAGGAUCUAAAUAACUUGAUUAGAGAUUCACAAAGUUCUCUAAUUAUGGGAGAAAGCCCAACAGUGAAGAAUCACACUCUCUGUAGGGAAGAAAAAACCAAAACAAAAAGGAAAUUUGGAAUAGAAAAAUAUAGUGUGAUGGAGGAGGAAGGGGAUGCAAUAAUAAAGAGAGUUGAAGGCUGAGAUGUAACUAAGCAACAAUUAAUGACAUGGGAAUGUUGGGAUUCCAAAUUACUAGGUUCAGAAUUUGGUAUGCAAAAACCACUUUCAUAUUGACCACCACCUAUGCCUCCAGAUCUAAACUUGCAAGCAGUAGCCAAUGAGUUCCCUUCAUAUGAUAACACAUUGAUGAAGAUGACCAAUGAGAUUAAGUUUCACGGUUCAAACCUUGAGGACAAGGUUGUUUUGCAACGGGGUAUAAUGAUAUGAUAUAAUGUGAUAAAAUAUAACAGGUGCAGGAUAGAAGGAAAUAGUUUAGGAAUUAGUUAGAAGUUGGUUAGUUGGUUGGAUUGCCUUUAUAAGAAGGCAGGGGUUUUGGUGGCAGUAUAGCUUUUGGAUAAUUCUUUGUGUGUAGACAAGAGGUUGUUCCUGUGGAGGAAGAGUGCUUCCUUAAGAGUUAGGUGUUGUACCAAUGUAUUCUUUAAUUCUAGAGUAAUACAAUUUUGUUUUCUAGUUAUCUGAUUGUUUGUGUGUGCUAUUUUGAGUGAUAGAUAGGCUCAUGUACUAAAGAGUUCUAUCAUAUUCAACCAGUGUAUUCUUUAUGUGCACUCAACUUAAUUGUGUCCGGUAACACUUCCAUUUCUUGAUAUUGUGAUAAUAAUAAGAUUAAAACCUAUUAGGUUUUAUGGUACCAUGAAUUCUAUUGGAAGUUUAACAUUUAUUAGAGAUAAAGUUAAUUUAAAAUAUAUAUAUAUAUAUAUAUAUAUAUAUAUAUAUAUAUAUAUAUAUAUAUAUAUAUAUAUAGUCUUAUAAACUUGUUUUGUGGAAUUGAGUUAGAUUUAAAUUCACUUUGUAAUAUAGUAUGAGAAUUAUAAACUAGAGUUUAUUUUAACGAGAUUUGAGCUUGCUUAACAUAUAAAUUAGUUUCACGUACGAAAUAUAUAUACCUAGACAUAAAGAAAAUGUGUUGAAAUUUAAUUUAUAAUUUAAGUUAAAUUUAAAUUUCACCUUUUAGGAAUUAAUUCAAAGCUAAUUCAAUCUUAAAAAGAUUGAUUGGAAUUAACAAGCUUAUAACCAUUUUAUGUCAAACAACAACAAUGAUCCCAAUAAUGUUGUCUCUUUACUGAACAUGUCGCCUUUUAUAACUUUUUGGUUGGUAUCUCAAUUUUUAUUUUUAUUUUUGUUUAAAAUCCAUUCAGAUAAAUUCGGGUUUCUACCAUUCGGCUUGAUCACUCUAUUCAAGGAAGUCUAUAAUUUAUUUAGCUAAUUACUACUUGUCUAUAUGUAUUUUAUCUUCACCGAAACGCACUAGAUGUUACAAUCAUCAAAACCUAACAGUAAUAUUUCUAGACUACUGUGGCUCAUUCAAUUGUAGUUGAAUUAUAUAAAGAAGUACAAAGCUUUAAAAGAGACCUAAUUCUUGCAGCGGUAUUUAAUAACACAUGACUGACAAAAGCUGACUAAGAUUGAUUAAAUUAAGAGACCAAAACUAAUAAAUAAAAACACUAAAAGUAAAUUUUUGAAAAAGCAAGGAAUUAAAAGCAUGGUUCAUUACAAAAGUUACAUGAAAUUCAUAAUUCCUGUAACAAAAAUCUACACAAUGUGACGUCAACAUUUAAGGUAACGACAAGGAAAAAUAUAAAAAUGAUAACCCAAAAACCAGAGUAGGUAUUAUAAAAAGAAGUUAUGUUUAUAAGUUUUAUACAUAUUUUGAUUGCUUUAAUAAUUCUCAUAUUUCUAAUAAAAACAGGCUUAGUAUAACUUUUCUGUUUUUUAAAAACUAUUUUAUUUAAUUCUAUUCCAACAUAUAAUUUGAAAUUUCAAACAGACCUCUUUUUUUCUUUAUUAGCGAAUCUCUCUAAAUUUUGUAUGCUAAGAGAAAGGAACAUGGAUUACCAAUAAAUUUAUUUUCACAGUAUAAAUCACACUCAAUAAAUCGUCCUCACAGCAAGUGAAGAUAAGGUGUUUAACAACAAUACCUAUAUCAUAACUUUCCUAACACCUAUAACUUUCCUAAACUAACAUACGUGUUGAAUAAUAGAUGAUAAAAAGAAAAUAAACGGUAAUACGGCCUCUGCAUCGUAUCGUAUGAAUAGGAAUUUGUGUCCAACAUCAAGAAUGGUGAAGAAAGCGUACCUGGUAGCUGGGUUGGUUUUUCUGAGACGUGAAUGAGGAAUUUGAAUAAAGAAGAAAGGGGAAAGAUAAAUGACAGAGAGAAUAUGUUUGAUACCAAAUAAUAUACCUCACUCGCUAGCAAAGGAAAGAAGCUCUAAGCAAAUAUUCCGCAGGAAUAUGCUCAGUCCCAUGAAAUUC